ACAAGAACUUUGCAGAGAGAGUUAACAGGGCGUGAAACCGUUAAUUGGCAAACGAAUCGGAGCCACGAAGUCGUUUCGUUGUUAGAAUCUGGGGCUGGGUUCAGCUUAAUAUUACCAAAUAUUAGGUGUAUUCCUGUGUCUGAUCUAACUUUGUAAGCGUACACUGCAACCAGUUAGACCAUUGGCUAUGGGCACAGUUACUAGCUUCUAAGGCCUUAAAAACCUUGUUGCUUGUAGCGAAGCGUUUGUUUAUCCAAAUUAGUAGUAGUGCUGUACGUCACUUGUGAUGUAUUGGUGUUGCUGGAUUUGUGAUAAGUGAACUAUGGCCAAAUACUGACUGGCAAAAUGAAAAUCGCCUCUAUGGGCGUUAGAAAAAAUGCUGCAUUUUAUGCAAGUGUCUACACAUUCAGCUGCAUGGUCUCUUAAGCUCAGCAUUUUUAAAUUCAGACCUGCUUGCUACCAAUGGGGCAACUCUUGGUGCUUGUAUGGUUUCUGUCUAAUUGGGUGUUGACUUGGCCAAGUACGUCUGCUUUGUGCUACGUUUGGGCUGCUUGCUAUAAAAAUGUUAGCAAUUUUAUUGGCAGUGAGUAGGUCGGCUUUCCGAACGACCCGUCUUGAAACACGGACCAAGGAGUCUAAUUAGGCAUCGAGUCGAUCGGUCUUGAAUAGGCCAGACUGGAAAUCUCGAUUUCCGAUUGAAGGCGUAGAGAAAUCAAAUUCAUGUGAUCGUGGCUAGUUAAAGCAACUGCCAUGCGCAACAUGUGCCUGUUCAUUUUGACAAUGUCCUUAAAAAACUUGUCGAGCGGAGUCAGGAGAUGUCUGAAUGGGACC
RNAcentral lists this ribosomal RNA (831 nucleotides) under Tetra formosae. RNAcentral describes it as "partial 28S ribosomal RNA". It matches the Rfam family "Eukaryotic large subunit ribosomal RNA", at positions 367 to 816 of the family's 3401-position model. Lineage: Eukaryota; Metazoa; Arthropoda; Arachnida; Trombidiformes; Eriophyidae. The record is from RNAcentral.